Long non-coding RNA from Acanthopagrus latus (yellowfin seabream), 825 nucleotides. RefSeq lists it as uncharacterized. Lineage: Eukaryota; Metazoa; Chordata; Actinopteri; Spariformes; Sparidae. The record is from RefSeq and is a predicted model, not a curated record. The transcript has 2 exons.
AAAAAAUGUUUUUUUUUUUAAUGAUGAAAGAAAAACUCCAAUGACACGACAGUGUAACAGUUCAUUGCACUUUGAUGAUUUUAAAAAAGCUGCAGAGCUGAUUGUUAAAACCUGGAAGUUUUCAACCGUGCCAUCUUUGCAUAUCCUCAGAGGGGAAACAUGCACUUCUCAUAGUCAAUUAUGAAAACAAACAAUUCUACUGUAUGUUACCGAAUAUAAUGGUAAUGGACAAAAAGAGUAAAUCAUUGCUGGAUGUAAAGAAGCUUUCUUGGUGUGCAGGUCUGCAAUGGUUAGACAGCAUCUCUUAACAUCUGAUGAUGAGUAUUUUCCAAAACAAUAAUAGAGAUCAAGGAACAGCUUUGGCACACAUACAGCAGAAAUGAAAAGCAUAAAAGGAAAAACAAACAGGAAAUGGUCCUUUUGAAGACAUGCUCACACUAAAACAUGAGUUUCUUACAAACGCACUCUCAAACUUUUCGCAUCACGUGAAACCGUUUCCACAGAGCAUUCACUUCAACACAGUCACGCACGCUCAUGUUUUUAUAUGACGGCAUUGCAAUGGUUAAUAAAAGCUUGAGGUCCUACAGGAAUAAUCUGCAGUAACUCCUUGGUGUUCAGUGUAAAUUAUUCAUACGUGUUCAAUUGCGCUUGGAACAAAAUGAUCCCACUUAAAAUAAUGCAAGUCAGCCCAUAAGCUUUGUUUAUUGGGUGCCAUGUUUCAUUAAAAUAAAUCACAGGUCUGGUUGGGUUGGACUGUGUGUGUGUGUGUGUGUGUGUGUGUGUGUGUGUGUGUGUGUGUGUGUGUGUGUGUGUGUGUGUGUGUGU